Vicia faba (fava bean) is the source of this 183-nucleotide non-coding RNA. The record is from the annotation of a GenBank genome assembly. Lineage: Eukaryota; Viridiplantae; Streptophyta; Magnoliopsida; Fabales; Fabaceae.
AUGGCUUUGCUUUGCAUCAUGCCUAGGACAUCAAUGUCACUGUAUUGUCUUUUGAUCUUGGAGGCUUAUCAAAAAGUGGAUUGCUUACUCAUGACCAACUUGGUGCUACAUGCUGAACAAAAUAAUGCACAUGUUAUGUUCUACAAGUCUACUUUCACGUCUGCAACAGUAAUGAUUUCAUAG